UACGGGGGGAGCAAGCGUUGUUCGGAUUUACUGGGCGUAAAGGGCGCGUAGGCGGCGUGACAAGUCACUUGUGAAAUCUCCGGGCUUAACUCGGAACGGUCAAGUGAUACUGUCGUGCUAGAGUACAGAAGGGGCAACUGGAAUUCUCGGUGUAGCGGUGAAAUGCGUAGAUAUCGGGAGGAACACCUGUGGCGAAAGCGGCUCACUGGACCAUUACUGACGCUGAUGCACGAAAGCUAGGGGAGCAAACAGG
Molecule: ribosomal RNA, 253 nt
Filed under: uncultured bacterium
Lineage: Bacteria
Description: partial 16S ribosomal RNA
Rfam family: Bacterial small subunit ribosomal RNA
Source: RNAcentral